GGUGGUCAUAAGCUACCUUACAUCUACACUACUCUAUUAGCGUCUACACUAAAAUACAGCUCCCAUCGAUGUAAGUCACCCCUACACCGACUUAAUAUCU
This is a long non-coding RNA of Dermochelys coriacea (leatherback sea turtle), 100 nucleotides long. RefSeq lists it as uncharacterized. The record is from RefSeq and is a predicted model, not a curated record. Lineage: Eukaryota; Metazoa; Chordata; Testudines; Dermochelyidae. The transcript is spliced from 3 exons.